UUUUCAUUCCCGCUACCCAACCAAAAAUCCCCAAUCUCUUUAACCAAAAUUCCCAAUCUCAUAAACCAAAAAUCCCCUUCAACCAAAAAUCCCUAAUCUCUUCUCUCUCUCUCUCUCUCCGGCGAGUGGCGGCAGACGACAGCGCCGGCAGACGACGGCUAGCAGCAAACAACGGCGGCGAGUGAGCGACGACGGUGCGAGCAGCAAAUCUAUUGACAUGUCUAGCAGAUUUAUUUACACAGAUCUGGAUUUCAGUUUCCUUGAGAUGAAUCCCUUUACCCUGGUGAAUGGAGAGUCAUGCCCAUUGGAUAUGAGGGGGGAGUUGGAUGACACUGCUGCCUUUAAGAACUUUAAGAAGUGGGGUGACAUAUUUUUUUCUUCCCUUUGGAAGAGUUCUGAGUCCUACAGAAAGCUUCAUUCACUCACUGGAUGAAAAGAUUCAUUUUUGAUUGUAUAUUAAGGAAAGUGUGCCUGUAUAUAAAGUGCCCCUGAAGGAUCUUUUGUGUUUCUUCAUGGCUGUGCUCACAACCCAACUGGCAUUGAACCAACCCCAGAACAAUGGGAAA
This is a non-coding RNA of Camellia sinensis, 566 nucleotides long. The record is from RefSeq and is a predicted model, not a curated record. Lineage: Eukaryota; Viridiplantae; Streptophyta; Magnoliopsida; Ericales; Theaceae.